CAGCAGCCGCGGUAAUACGUAGGUGGCAAGCGUUAUCCGGAAUUAUUGGGCGUAAAGGGCUCGCAGGCGGUUUCUUAAGUCUGAUGUGAAAGCCCCCGGCUCAACCGGGGAGGGUCAUUGGAAACUGGGAAACUUGAGUGCAGAAGAGGAGAGUGGAAUUCCACGUGUGGCGGUGAAAUGCGUAGAGGUGUGGAGGAACACCAGUGGCGAAGGCGACUCUCUGGUCUGUAACUGACGUUGAGGAGCGAAAGCGUGGGGAGCGAACAGGAUUAGAUACCCCAGUAGUCCCUGUCUCUUAUAU
This 301-nucleotide ribosomal RNA is filed under the name uncultured bacterium. Its description in RNAcentral is "partial 16S ribosomal RNA". It matches the Rfam family "Bacterial small subunit ribosomal RNA", at positions 509 to 809 of the family's 1533-position model. The record is from RNAcentral.